This 462-nucleotide ribosomal RNA is filed under the name Triticum aestivum (bread wheat). RNAcentral describes it as "partial small subunit ribosomal RNA". The record is from RNAcentral. Lineage: Eukaryota; Viridiplantae; Streptophyta; Magnoliopsida; Poales; Poaceae.
AUGGGCAUGGAGAUAUGUAUGCUGCGCGAGCGGGUGCGCGAGCAGAUGGACAAACUAGUGCAGAGUUUGAUCUCGGCAGACAGGGAACAAGAGAAACGGGAGGCAAUCCCCACGUUGCAGUCGAUCUCGGAUACUAUCGGGCGGCUCUGUGCAGCCCACGGGCAACCGCCGGCCAUCGAGGAGUUGGAUGACGAGAAGGUCGAGGCCAUCGACAGCGGCAACCUGAAGGAGGAGGAGGAAGAGGACCUUGAUGAGGCGGGCAUGAGCGGCAGGGAAGGCAGAGUCGCGGAAGAACCGGUGGUCUACCGCGAACGCAAUGCAGCCGCGGAGACCAACCCGGGAGCCGAGGAAGUCGACUACGCCGAGCACGAGGAGGAGGAAAAAAAUCCUAUGCGACCGGGUCGCACAAAGCUGAUCGUGAGACCCUGCCCCGCACGUGACACCUGGCGAUACGAAUCGUAA